RNAcentral lists this ribosomal RNA (549 nucleotides) under Salmonella enterica. RNAcentral's name for it is "bacterial SSU rRNA". It matches the Rfam family "Bacterial small subunit ribosomal RNA", at positions 110 to 655 of the family's 1533-position model. Lineage: Bacteria; Pseudomonadati; Pseudomonadota; Gammaproteobacteria; Enterobacterales; Enterobacteriaceae. The record is from RNAcentral.
GUAAUGUCUGGGAAACUGCCUGAUGGAGGGGGAUAACUACUGGAAACGGUGGCUAAUACCGCAUAACGUCGCAAGACCAAAGAGGGGGACCUUCGGGCCUCUUGCCAUCAGAUGUGCCCAGAUGGGAUUAGCUUGUUGGUGAGGUAACGGCUCACCAAGGCGACGAUCCCUAGCUGGUCUGAGAGGAUGACCAGCCACACUGGAACUGAGACACGGUCCAGACUCCUACGGGAGGCAGCAGUGGGGAAUAUUGCACAAUGGGCGCAAGCCUGAUGCAGCCAUGCCGCGUGUAUGAAGAAGGCCUUCGGGUUGUAAAGUACUUUCAGCGGGGAGGAAGGUGUUGUGGUUAAUAACCGCAGCAAUUGACGUUACCCGCAGAAGAAGCACCGGCUAACUCCGUGCCAGCAGCCGCGGUAAUACGGAGGGUGCAAGCGUUAAUCGGAAUUACUGGGCGUAAAGCGCACGCAGGCGGUCUGUCAAGUCGGAUGUGAAAUCCCCGGGCUCAACCUGGGAACUGCAUUCGAAACUGGCAGGCUUGAGUCUUGUAGA